This 437-nucleotide ribosomal RNA is filed under the name uncultured bacterium. RNAcentral describes it as "bacterial SSU rRNA". It matches the Rfam family "Bacterial small subunit ribosomal RNA", at positions 52 to 507 of the family's 1533-position model. The record is from RNAcentral.
UACAUGCAAGUCGAACGAGAAGCCAGAGCUUGCUCUGGUGGAAAGUGGCGAACGGGUGAGUAACACGUGAGAAACCUGCCCCAAAGAUUGGGAUAAGCCUUGGAAACGAGGUCUAAUACCAAAUACCUUCUUUUUAACACAUGUUAAAAAGAGAAAUGCUCCGGCGCUUUGGGAUGGUCUCGCGAUCUAUCAGCUUGUUGGUGAGGUAACGGCUCACCAAGGCAUCGACGGAUAGCUGGUCUGAGAGGAUGUCCAGCCACAUUGGAACUGAGACACGGUCCAAACUCCUACGGGAGGCAGCAGUAGGGAAUCUUGCACAAUGAGGAAACCUUGAUGCAGCGACGCCGCGUGCGGGACGAAGGCCCUAGGGUUGUAAACCGCUUUCAGUAGGGACGAAAGUGACGGUACCUACAGAAGAAGCCCCGGCCAACUAUGUG